Molecule: ribosomal RNA, 253 nt
Filed under: uncultured bacterium
Lineage: Bacteria
Description: partial 16S ribosomal RNA
Rfam family: Bacterial small subunit ribosomal RNA
Source: RNAcentral
UACGUAGGGAGCAAGCGUUGUCCGGAAUCAUUGGGCGUAAAGCGCGCGUAGGCGGCCUCGUAAGUCCGUUGUGAAAGUCAAAGGCUCAACCUUUGAAAGCCGAUGGAUACUGUGAGGCUAGAGUCCGGAAGAGGCGAGUGGAAUUCCUGGUGUAGCGGUGGAAUGCGCAGAUAUCAGGAGGAACACCGGUGGCGAAGGCGGGAUCCUGGGCCAGUACUGACGCUGAGGAGCGAAAGCGUGGGGAGCAAACAGG